Molecule: non-coding RNA, 2990 nt
Organism: Triticum urartu
Lineage: Eukaryota; Viridiplantae; Streptophyta; Magnoliopsida; Poales; Poaceae
Source: RefSeq, a predicted model, not a curated record
ACCACCCUCGUCGCCUACCGCUCAAAAAAAGAAAAAGAAAAAACCUCGUCAGGGAAGCACGCCCCGAGCGCGGGCUCUGCCGCCGCCGCCACAAGCCUCCUCCACGCCUCCCCUCCGGUCCGCCCCCCUUUGCUCGUCGUCCCCACAUACCCGCCGCCGCCGCACGACGCAUGAGCCGCACGCCCGCACCCUGCCUCUUCGGAGUCGCCGCCGCCGCCCAGGCCGGGUGGUGAGGCUGGUGGUGGCUGUAGGUAGGUGAUGUAGAUGGAGAUGCGACGCUUGCGGCGGUGCCGGCCGGCUGAUAAUACGUGCAGGUUGCAGCAGCUAAUAGAGACGCUGUCUGUCUCUGUCUAGGAAACUCACUCAUCGCCUGAGAGACAAAUUGGUGAUUCCAUCCAUGGAUUGGUUUGGUUUGGUUGUUCCAUCGAUGAAUCCCAUGCACGUCGGUCUGAUUCACCUGGCUGGUCUCUUCCAUGCUCCGCCACCAUCAGCUUUCUCCACGCCUCGCAACCAUCAGCCUCCUUCACGCCGAUUGAAGAGCUGGCCUAAUCACAAAACACUCCACCACCAUCUGAAGGAAAAAAAACCCACCACCACCAGCCUCCCUGCUGCUCCGGCUAUGCGGCAGCUACCACUGCGACUCCUGCGCUCUGCGGCGGCCGGAUCACUCCGGAGCCCCACCCUCUCACGUGGCGGCUGUCCUGUCCCUCUAGCGCCACAUCUGUCGGCGGAGGCAGCCGCCACGCCGGCCGAGCUUGCCCGCUGGCUACCGCGGAGAGGGUACUCCCGGUUCGCGAGCGGAUUCACCCCCUUGGAGCCGAAGAAGCUGGGAUCCAUCCUCGACGUCGAGCGCGCCAAGGGCCUCUCCCCCGAACACCUCGUCGCGGCAUGGGAUGACUUUUCCAGGUGAAAAUCGUUUAACGGGACAUAUUAAUGGGUCGGAUGGGUAAGAUGGAUCGUGUGUGGAGAUAGGCAGGGAAAGCAAGAAAAGGGAAGGCAGAUGGAUAUUUGUGGGUUGCCCAUAUUUUGUUAUUCCUUUGUGGAGAGGAAGUGGAUGUACCACCAUGUUUAUGCAAGGUCGCUGCCCUCUGCUCUCUCACGACCACGCCCUCGGGGCAGUUUUCCAUUGCCCAGCGCCCCACACCUCGCCCCACCUCUUCCCUCCCCGCCAGCCACCGCCUGCCUCCAUCUGCACGCGUCGCCGGACCGCCGCGUCCACGCGUAGCCCGGACUGCCUCCCACGCUCCAAGCGCCCGGUCCGCCACGCCCACGCUUGAGGCGCCCAGGCCGCCCCAUCCAUGCUCCAGGUGGACCGCGGCGCCCACGCUCGAGGCUCCCGGGCCGCCCCGUCCAUGCUCCAGGCGGACCACGGCGCCAUAGCUCCAGGCGCCCGGACCGCCACGCUCACGCUCCAGCCGCUCGGGCCGCCGCGUCCACGCACCGCCCGGACACAGGCACCGCCGGUCCUCCACACUGCAGGAUGAGCAAGAGUAAUCCAGACAAAGUUCCAGGAAUGACUACGCAUCGUUCCCCAUUUAAAGACAUAACGAACUCGUCUAUGAUUGAGAAUGCAAAUGUCACUACUAAUAGUCAAGAAGCAAAAAAGAAUACAUUGUAUGCCCGAAUGUCUGAUGAGAAGAGAGCAGCAUUCCUUGAAAAACGUCGUAUGUCCCGACAAGAAAAGAAGUCUCAGGCUCUGAAUAUUGUUAAUGGUCAACUAACAGUUGAGGCACAUGCUCCGUUAGGAUCCAAGGAAUGUACACCUUUGAGAAACAUAACCAACACACACACAAAUGGUAUGUUCAUACUCUGCAUAUCAUAAUUAUUGAAUGACCAUUUGCUCAUUUUGCUAGGAGGUUUGUCUCCUGCGUUGUGUCAGAUGCAACAUGUACUGAAGCCGCAGGACACCCUUGAACAGCGGGAUCUGCCGCCUCCCUUGGACUUCGCCGGCAAGGCGUGAUCCGUCGUCGCCACCCACUCCUCCCAUGGGAGGAUGCGGCUGCUAUCAUCAACCUCCGCUCCUGGGCGUGCUCCCAAAUUCAAUAUGUUAGAUUUGCAGAGACUGAUGUUGCAUGACGCAAGAAGAAACAUGUGGUUCUGUUGCGAAUCACCGCAGCGAUGCAGUGCCAUGGAAGCUGGAGAAUUUUUAUCUACUAUACUUGUUCGUUGCCUGCAUCAUAUUGCAGUUCCAAAGUCCACAUAAGGAAUUUUAAAUAAUACAUAAUUCAUUGGCGUGUACUCUGUCAUAGGAUGUUGCUUUACAUUUUGGGCGCACCAUGUUUUAACUGAGAAGGCAGUUGUUGGUACAGUUAGAGUUCAAAGAGGUCCUUCGACGAGGGUGUGUCAAAACUCAGCUAGGCGCUUCGAUGUCAACUGUGGUUCCUUCACUACCCUCCUUAUUCGGUGUUCCACCUCACCACUCCCCAGCAGUGGGAGCAGAGCAGCCGACGGGUUCCUGGCUUACCUGCCUUGCAAAGAGCUGGUGCUUUUUUGGAAAUUUGAUAACACCACAAGCAGCAAUCGAUUUUGAAAGCCAAAAAACAUCCAAGACAUGUACAGUGGGAGUACUACCAGUUUAGGAGCAAAGUAACCAUUACUAGAGUAAUGAAUAUGAGAAAUGAAUAGUUGAUGAAACUGAGCACUGUUGUAAUUCUCGACAGUGAAAUGGUCUUUUUUGUCCCAGUAAAGGUUGGAGGCAGAAUCAGCUUCAAUCUCGAGUACCCAAUUGUAGAGAAGACGAAAGGAGGCACAACAUAUAUGGAAGUACGAACUCUGGCAGUAACAAUUUUAUGUUUCCAAGUUAGGUUGAUGAUAUUCAACUUAAUAGAACCCAAACUUUUGUUGUUGAGUUCAAUAUACAGUGUCCCGUGUAUAGUUUUUAAGGUGUCAUGUUUCUCAAGAGAAUACAUCUGCACGUAAGGAACUAGCUACCAGUAUCAAUCUAAAUGAACAAGCUCAUAAGCAGCCUUUGCUUUUGAUUCAUUCAUUUU